UCACACCUGCAGAGAUCUUCUGAGGGGUCUUGCCCUCCUUACAUCAAGACUGCACUGCCUCUUGUGCUCUCACUGCCACGUUUUGUUUUUCCCACAAUGCUUUGAAAAUUAAGGGACAUCCUCCACAAACUAGUUUAAGUGCUGAACAAGCACAGCCGCAAACGUGGCCAGUGGGAGGGACGUGUUCAACACCUGAGCUGCGUUGCGGAACAUGCUGCUCGCAGCUGUCUCCAGUUAGAGUCUGGGAAGGGCUCCCCGCCCCACGCUGCCUGCAGGAUACGAUCUCCAGAGAGCGGUAACGAGCCCCAGCUGCUGCUGAGCCGGCCCGUGGGGCCAUAAGGCACAGCCUCCUUUCUCAAGGGCUUCACACACCACUGUACCGCACGCUCCUUGUGCUGAUGAUGUGGCACGCAAGCUCCUGAGCCGCCCGCAGGGCGGAGGGGACACCCAGGCAAGCAGAAGGGCAGGGAAAGGAUAGAACCUCUCUGCCAGAAAGUCACCUGCAGCCUGAAAUUCCUGAUGUCUGCUUGCUUCUUGCUUUGUGCAGUUUCAACAUCUAACAGCCCAAAGGGCCCAGGAAACACCUCCCAGGAAAAUGCAGCCCCUCCACUGCCUGAGAGCAACAAAGCAUCGAGAGUCACCAAAGCCCACGAGACUGACGGGAGAUGAAGAAGUAACCGGAUUUCAUGACUUACUGUCCAAUACUUAAUGAAAUACUUGAAGACUGUUGCAGCAAUAUACAAGCAAUACAACAAAGAAUAGGCUAAGAACAGCAGAAAGAAUUUGUAGUUAGAAAAUCCAAUGCAGUUAUUCACCCUGGAGGACAAAAGCAAAGUUGAAAUCAGGAUUGGUGCAGCACACAGCGGUUUGUAACACAAAGAGCACGAGCGGCUCGGGGGAGUUUGGAGCCCCCGGGUCACACAACCGAAUCUGCCAAGGCGCAGCUCCCCUUAGUGGCCGAAAGGGAACAGAAGCGAUGGCUCUGCCCUCCACUCAAACCCUCCUGCGGGCCAAGGACACGCACCGCUCAGACCUUUGGAAUCCUUCUAAGCCCAAUGAACCCCACGCUUGCUUAGAAUCCUCCAUGCACAGGACAACUCUAGAAAGGAACAAGAGGAUGUACAAAAAACCCGAGUGGACGUCAGCAUCAGAACUCAGGUUCUGGUGUGCAAUUCAGAACUGCCAGUGUACUGUGGGAAAUGAUGCUGAGCCUGCAAACAGUGAGUCCUUCUUCCUGAGCCUGAAGCAAUUCCUGAAGAAGAAACAAAGCUGGAAGCAUGAACUACACACACU
Molecule: long non-coding RNA, 1293 nt
Organism: Hirundo rustica (Barn swallow)
Lineage: Eukaryota; Metazoa; Chordata; Aves; Passeriformes; Hirundinidae
Exons: 5
Source: RefSeq, a predicted model, not a curated record